This 73-nucleotide transfer RNA is filed under the name Ruminococcus sp. AM40-10AC. Its description in RNAcentral is "tRNA-Cys". It matches the Rfam family "tRNA". From Rfam's summary of the family: Transfer RNA (tRNA) molecules are approximately 80 nucleotides in length. The record is from RNAcentral. Lineage: Bacteria; Bacillati; Bacillota; Clostridia; Eubacteriales; Oscillospiraceae.
GAUGAUGUCGCCAAGUGGUCUAAGGCAGCAGACUGCAACUCUGUCACCGUGAGUCCGAAUCUCACCAUCAUCU